UACGAAGGGGGGCUAGCGUUGCUCGGAAUGACUGGGCGUAAAGGGUGCGCAGGCGGUCGGGUGUGUCAGAUGUGAAAUCCCGAGGCUCAACCUCGGAACUGCGUCUGAAACUACUCGACUAGAGUACUGGAGAGGGUAACGGAAUUCACGGUGUAGCAGUGAAAUGCGUAGAUAUCUGGAGGAACACCGGUGGCGAAGGCGGCAUCCUGGACCGGCAUUGACGCUGAGGCGCGAAAGCCAGGG
RNAcentral lists this ribosomal RNA (243 nucleotides) under uncultured bacterium. RNAcentral's name for it is "partial 16S ribosomal RNA". It matches the Rfam family "Bacterial small subunit ribosomal RNA", at positions 524 to 765 of the family's 1533-position model. The record is from RNAcentral.